GCCAGGCGUGGUGGCGCACACCUGUGGUCCUAGCUACAUGGGAGGCUGAAGCAGGAGGAUCACUUGAACCCAGGAGGUCAAGGCUGCAGUGAGCCAUGUUUGCACCACUGCACUCCAACCUAGUCAACAGAGUGAGACCCUGUCUCAAAAAAAAAAAAAAAAUGGUCCUAGUGUGGUGGCGUGGGCCUAUAGCAAGGGGAUUACUUGAGCCCAGGAGUUCAAGGCUGCAGUGAGCUAUGAUCACAGCACUGUACUCCAGCCUGGGUGACAGAGUGAGACCCUGUCUCU
RNAcentral lists this small RNA (288 nucleotides) under Homo sapiens (human). RNAcentral's name for it is "Metazoan signal recognition particle RNA (ENSG00000273829.1)". Lineage: Eukaryota; Metazoa; Chordata; Mammalia; Primates; Hominidae. The record is from RNAcentral.